This 86-nucleotide transfer RNA is filed under the name Blattabacterium sp. (Blaberus giganteus). Its description in RNAcentral is "tRNA-Leu". It matches the Rfam family "tRNA". Rfam says of the family: Transfer RNA (tRNA) molecules are approximately 80 nucleotides in length. Their secondary structure includes four short double-helical elements and three loops (D, anti-codon, and T loops). Lineage: Bacteria; Pseudomonadati; Bacteroidota; Flavobacteriia; Flavobacteriales; Blattabacteriaceae. The record is from RNAcentral.
GUGGGCGUGGUGAAACCGGUAGACACGUCAGAAUUAGAAUCUGAUGCCAAUUAGGCGUAAGGGUUCGAAUCCCUUCGCCCGCACUA